This 3237-nucleotide ribosomal RNA is filed under the name Triticum aestivum (bread wheat). Its description in RNAcentral is "partial small subunit ribosomal RNA". The record is from RNAcentral. Lineage: Eukaryota; Viridiplantae; Streptophyta; Magnoliopsida; Poales; Poaceae.
AUGGCUAACAGCAGCUCGACCUCACCGGAGAUCACGUCGAGAUGUGUCACGGUCAGGGAGCACACCGGUACGCUCAAUUUGGAGGUGACCGAUUAUCUGGGGCUCGUUGGCAUCGGUGUCGGCGAGCCCCUUACUUCGUCCGUCCUCGAAGUCGGCGGCUACAAGUGGAUGAUCAGCUUCUACCCAGACGGAGUCGAGAACUUUCAUGGCCACGCUGCAGCGUUUGUGCACUGUUACUUUGACAGCAAAGACGCGGAUGUGACCGCCAAGUUCACGCUGAGCAUCCUAGAGAAAAGGAGCCAGGUAAACGUAGCCAGCUUCGAUUCGAUGAAGCGCGUCUUCUCUCCGCGCGAUUACAAGACAUGGGGCCAUCACGGAUUCGUGGACAAGGCCAAGCUGGGAUGGCUGUCGCAACUGGGGGACGGCUGCUUCACGGUACGGUGUGUCCUCACCGUCGUCACGGACACGGACGAGUCACCGCCUCUGCAGCUGCCCACAGUGCCCAGCCUACUCUCCAGCCAACUCGAGAGCAUGCUCGAGGACGGGAGAGGCGCCGACGUCACGUUCCUCGUGGGUAGCCAGGAGUUCCGCGGGCACAGGUCCUUUCUGGCCGCGCGGUCGCCGGUCUUCGGAGCUCAGUUCUAUGGCCCCAUGGCGGAGAAGGACGACAUGCCGCGCGUCAAGGUCAUCGACGUUGAGCCGGACAUCUUCCAGAUGAUGCUUCACUACAUCUACAAAGACUCGCUGCCGCUGCCACCCGCCGACGACGAAGGAGGCUACAGCGUCGCGGCGAUGCAGCACCUGAUGGUCGCGGCAGACAUGUAUGGGCUGGAGAGGCUGAAGCUCAUGUGUGAAGAUGAGCUGUGCAAAAUUAUGGAUGCAUCGACCGUUAUGAGCACGUACGCGCUCGCGAAUCAGCACCACUGUAAUCGACUCAAGGAUGCGUGCGUGGAAUUUAUGUCGUCCAAAGAAGUGUUGGCCGCCAUCCUCGAGACCAAUGAGCACUUCAUGACACGUUGCCGACCACUGCCACUGGAGGGGAAUCAUGAAGAGGAAGAAGUUGACCACAGCAGGAAAUUCAAAAGGACUCGAUGCACUGCCCCGUUCUUUGGGGCUCCGCCGGUCAUGGCAACUGGGAACCUGCCCAUGGUGAUGCUUGUGCAGCCAUUCCAGGCCAUUCAUCCAAUCAUGGUCUUCGUGAUGGCAGACCGGGUCGGUACGGAUCGAUCCGGCAAGUCCGUGUGCAGAAAGCGUACGCGCGUGAAGACGGCCCAAGGGCUGCCGUGGCUCGAACGCUUGGAACAUGUGGACAGGUUAUGGAGGCACGCGGUCAAGCGCGUCAUGAGGAUCAUGUUUAACAGGGCGUCUGAACAAACCAGACGGCCCAGCAGGCGGGCGCAAACGGACUUUUGUCCGUUUUCUGUCCGCUUUCGACCCAUCCCCGGCUCAAGUUUGGGCCGCUUUUGGGAUGAAACGGACAGCACGCGGACGGGCGGGACGAGCGCGCUUGUCCUCCUUUGGCCCGCCCGUCGGUGGCACAAAGCACCACCCCCGCGCCCCAUUUCGCGCCAUUUCCCCCCAAACCCUCCCACGUCCCGCCCACCACCCUCCCCCGUCCAUGGCCGACGCCCCGCCGAAUUCCGGCGGCCUGGCCGUCGACCCGCCCGGAAAGGUGAAGAAGAAAGCGGCCAAGGGUCCAAGGAAGAUGCGGCCGGAAUGCACGCCGGAGGAGCUCGCAAAGCUGGACGCGGAAUCGGCGAAGAGGAGGAACCGGAGGGCGGUCGUCAAGGGCAAGAACGCCGCAGCCAAGUUCUCCGCCGAGUGCGAUGCGGUGGAGGCCGUGCGGCGCAAGGCCGAGGUCGACGAGAAGGAGGACAUCGUCAACCAAGCGACACUCUCUUCAUGCUUGGGCUUUGCCGUCCGACGGGUUUCUCUGGAGCUGCCGUCGGCCCGACGAGCACCGGCUCGUUGGUCGCCAGGCCUCAGCACUACCCCUCGCCAACGUCGCGGACCACGCCUUUGUCGCCCGGUUUUCCCCCGCCAAGACACGAUGGCCAGACCCGUUUUUCGGGGUCGCUGGACAUUGGCGUGAUCGCGCCAUCCACCCCGCGCCCCUCGGCCGUCAUCGACCUCGAUGUCACGCCGGGGUCCAGCAGCGGCGGCCGGCCGUCCGUCGAGAUGCAAAGAAAGCAAGCACGGCCGACGUCUACGAGCACCAUGCCAUCGCCCCGCGUCCUAUUCGACGAAAUGCCAACACCAACGCCAACAGUCGACGACCCCUUCUACAGCCAGUUCAUGGAGAAUGUGAUUUACGAGGGCGGGCGUGACGCUGCCUACGAUCCCGAGGAGACCCAAAGUCAGGAUGGCCACGCCCAGUAUGUUGCCGAUGAAGACAAUGAGGCCCACGACCAUGCUGACUACGACCAUGGUGACUCGUGGCAUGAAGAUGAUGACAUCUAUUGCGAAGGUGAUGAUGAUGAAGAAGAAGGCGUUGAUAUUGGGGUCGAGCCAUUGUUCAUCGACGAGCUCACCCAAAGAGCGGAAGCACAAAAAAGGAAGAAGAACAUUCGUAUGGGUUCAUGCUCACAAGAAGAGGACAAGUUGAUUUGCCAAUGUUGGAUGGAGAUUAGUCAAGAUUCGAGGAACGAUCGAAGACGUGCACGAGAUCAAUCAGGUGCAAGGAUCAAGUCAUGUGGGCCGACAAGGAUACAAGAAUUUUCGCAGCAUAAUGUGUGCCUGGCGAGCGGCCAAAUCGCCGAGUCAAGGUUGCCAAAAAUUUGCGCUGCAGUAUCAACCUGUACGGUGGCCGUAUCCGACUGUUAUUGUAUUUCCCCUGGUCCAGUAAUCAAGUCCCGAGGCUGUGAGAUGCUUAAUUGGCCAAGGUACCACGUUUGUAUUGUUGCUCUCCACCUCAUCCCAAAAAGAAAUCAGCAAUCAACAGCAAAAGUAGAGAGCCACGGCUGGCAACGUCUCCUGCAUGCAAGGACAGAAGCGCAUACACUGUUUAAAAGGAAAAAAAAGGUUACCAAGGGGCCACGACCCAUAAACAAAGAGGGCAGCGACUCGGACUCCUCCGCGGACUGUGCCUCGCCUCUGCCCAGAAUCCGGGCUGUUUGCUGCUUCUGCCCGGAGCGGCCGGUGCGCCUCUGCCGCGUCACCCAUCUACGAGCCGCCACGCCACUUUGUCAAGCCGACCGCGCUUCUGCACCAAGCCGCCGUCUCCUCUACGGUGCUUGA